This is a long non-coding RNA of Alligator sinensis (Chinese alligator), 966 nucleotides long. RefSeq lists it as uncharacterized. NCBI's taxonomy places the organism in Eukaryota, Metazoa, Chordata, Crocodylia, Alligatoridae. The transcript has 2 exons. The record is from RefSeq and is a predicted model, not a curated record.
UCAGUGGUGGAUAAAGCCAUAGCGGGUGGAGAUAAAUGGGUGUGGGGAGGGGAUAGGAGUGUGCAGAAGUGUAGUUUUGGAAGUAUGAUGUAAACAGGGAGAUUGUGAAGGGAGGAAAGGGAAGGACAAAAUACAGAAGAAAAGAUUUUAGUAAGUUCAGAGCUAUGAAUGGGGAGUGAAAAGGAAAUAACACGGGGGGUGGGCAAAGGUAACUACCCUUGUAGGAAAAGGAGUGAGAAAGUGGAAUGAAGGCAGUAAACUGAUUGACAAUGUUACAAUUAAAUACAGUGUGCAGCGUAGAACACGAUUUAUUACUGUAGAUUAAGUGGCAAGGCCAUGUAGGUAUUUUUCAUCCCAGUUGAUGGGUUUAAUCCUUGGGCCAAACAGUGUCAAGUCUUGGUGUUAUGCAUAAUGCCAUCACCAGCUAUUUUUCGUGUUUCUCCCAAUAUCCCUUACAAGGCUAGUAUGAAGCAGGCAAAUGCCAUUAACCCCCAUUUCAGAGAUGUCAGGUGGACUUGUCAGCAAUCUGGCAAGGAAUCGGGGACAAAAUUAAAUUUAGAAUUCAUAUUUCCAGACCUUGUAAUAUAACUAAAUUCUUUAGCAAUUCAAGUUACUUUACUCUCCUUUACCUCCCAGAAGUGAAUAAUAAUCGUAAGAGAUCUAGGGCUGGAUCCAUUUCACGCCGUGCCUGAGGCAGGAUCAUUCCUAUCCAAAGCAUCCUAUGCAGAUCCAUUGUCUAACCUUUUAGCAAAAUUAGAGUCAGCCCUGACACAACACAAGACCGCACCAACCUGCCACAGGAUCUGAAUCCAGAUGUGGCACAGCUCGGACACUGGUGUUAGAGGAUGCAAGGUCAACAACAGCCAUCAAGUGAUACCAGCCCUGCCAUCCCACUGGCUUUUUUCCUAAUCAUUAGAUAAGUAUUAUCAGUAAAGGGACAGCAGCUUCAUCCCAAUAAAAAAAAAA